This is a long non-coding RNA of Bombyx mori (domestic silkworm), 605 nucleotides long. RefSeq lists it as uncharacterized. The transcript is spliced from 3 exons. NCBI's taxonomy places the organism in Eukaryota, Metazoa, Arthropoda, Insecta, Lepidoptera, Bombycidae. The record is from RefSeq and is a predicted model, not a curated record.
AGUUCACCCAGCUUCACUCCUCACGUUCCCGCCAAAAAGUUUCAUAAGCCUUUGACAGCUGUAGCAGUUCCAUUUUUCCAAUACAAAAUGGCGAAAAUUUCUUAGUAUACAAUCAAAUUUAUGAAGGGGAGAAUUUAUAAAGAGUACCGUAUUGUGGGAUUAGUUGAAAAAGUGUCCAUUUGUAAAUAUUAAAACAAGUUGCGAGUGAAGUGUGUUGGUGAUUGCAGAUCUCAGAGGUAUCAAAUUGUGAAUGAACCACUCAUUUGAAGACAUGAGCACAAUGUCUUAAUUGUAUCUUACAACGGCUGCACUAACUCUCAAACUGAAACGCACGACUGUAUGUGACAGAAAUAGAAUUAGGUAGGAACGUUGUGCCUACCGUAAGAGCCUAGCAUCUUUCCACCAGUAAGUACUCAAGACGGCGUCAGGAAGUUGAAUGGGAAAAUCGUCAAGAAUACAGCUACUUCUCGGUGAAGUAGGAGAACGUUAGUUAUAGAAGUAGCUUGAGGACAGUUGGGUCGUAAAUCCGUGGACGAGGAGAGAGAGGAAGUAAAUAAGAUGAAGGUUUAUCUAAAAAUUAUAAUUAAAACUACUUUUACGCCUUA